UACGUAGGGGGCUAGCGUUGUUCGGAAUCACUGGGCGUAAAGGGCGCGUAGGCGGCCGCUCAAGUCGGGGGUGAAAGCCUGUGGCUUAACCACAGAAUUGCCUUCGAUACUGUUUGGCUUGAGACCGGAAGAGGUGAGUGGAACUGCGAGUGUAGAGGUGAAAUUCGUAGAUAUUCGCAAGAACACCAGUGGCGAAGGCGGCUCACUGGUCCGGUUCUGACGCUGAGGCGCGAAAGCGUGGGGAGCAAACAGG
RNAcentral lists this ribosomal RNA (253 nucleotides) under uncultured bacterium. RNAcentral describes it as "partial 16S ribosomal RNA". It matches the Rfam family "Bacterial small subunit ribosomal RNA", at positions 524 to 776 of the family's 1533-position model. The record is from RNAcentral.